GGUGGUGGAGGGAGGUAGGUAACUCACCGGUGGUGGAGGGAGGUAGGUAACUCACCGGUGGUGGAGGGAGGUAGGUAACUCACCGGUGGUGGAGGGAGGUAGGUAACUCACCGGUGGUGGAGGGAGGUAGGUAACUCACCGGUGGUGGUGGAGGGAGGUAGGUAACUCACCGGUGGUGGUGGAGGGAGGUAGGUAACUCACCGGUGGUGGAGGGAGGUAGGUAACUCACCGGUGGUGGAGGGAGGUAGGUAACUCACCGGUGGUGGUGGAGGGAGGUAGGUAACUCACCGGUGGUGGUGGAGGGAGGUAGGUAACUCACCGGUGGUGGUGGAGGGAGGUAGGUAACUCACCGGUGGUGGAGGGAGGUAGGUAACUCACCGGUGGUGGUGGAGGGAGGUAGGUAACUCACCGGUGGUGGUGGAGGGAGGUAGGUAACUCACCGGUGGUGGUGGAGGGAGGUAGGUAACUCACCGGUGGUGGUGGAGGGAGGUAGGUAACUCACCGGUGGUGGAGGGAGGUAGGUAACUCACCGGUGGUGGUGGAGGGAGGUAGGUAACUCACCGGUGGUGGUGGAGGGAGGUAGGUAACUCACCGGUGGUGGAGGGAGGUAGGUAACUCACCGGUGGUGGAGGGAGGUAGGUAACUCACCGGUGGUGGAGGGAGGUAGGUAACUCACCGGUG
This is a long non-coding RNA of Oncorhynchus keta (chum salmon), 681 nucleotides long. RefSeq lists it as uncharacterized. The record is from RefSeq and is a predicted model, not a curated record. The transcript has 4 exons. Lineage: Eukaryota; Metazoa; Chordata; Actinopteri; Salmoniformes; Salmonidae.